Molecule: long non-coding RNA, 882 nt
Organism: Brachypodium distachyon (stiff brome)
Lineage: Eukaryota; Viridiplantae; Streptophyta; Magnoliopsida; Poales; Poaceae
Exons: 2
Source: RefSeq, a predicted model, not a curated record
GUCUCUUCUCCCAGCCACACAUCGUCUCUCUUAUCUCUCUCCCUCCAUCGGCUCCUCUCUCCUGUGGCCGGCUGGCGACUGAGGCCGAAGAUCCUCUGCCCUCCUGCUUCUGCUCUCCACUCUCCCUCCUCUCUCUCUUCUGCGAGAAGCUGCGGCUGUGACCUGCAGCAGCACCGGCGGCGGGAGGAGUACGUAGCAGCGGCAGCCUGCAGCAGCAACGAGGACGAGCAGAGGCAGCGGGGCAACUGGUGAGGAGCAGCGGCGUGCGAGGCGUCGGCAGGCAGCGAGCGGCGGGGGCCGGCCCUCCUGUUGGAAGAAAUAGAGCAUCACCGGCUAGGUUCUUCAAAAUCAACCAAAUUUUUUCCGCCAGAUCAGGUGACAAUGAUCAAGGGGAAGCAAUUUAGAGGGUUAUUGAAUGUCAAGGUUCAAUCAAUGUCCAAAGAAUUUUAGCAAGUGGCUAAUGAGGUGUUACAACCUAGAAACAUCAGAACUUGUUAUAUCAGGGAGGGGUAGCAUCCCAGUUGAUGCAGAAAGUGUACAGAGGGUUUUUGAUUUGCCAAACAAGUGGAGGAAAGUCACUUAUGAGAUGAACCAGGAAGCAACACUUACUUUCCUUACCAGUAGGGAUUGGAAAACAUGCACAAUUCUGUGUGUGUGUCCCCUAGGAGCAACUCGUGUUAAACUGACCUACUCCACAUUUGUUCUUGUGUUGCCUGAUUAAUUUAUUGCCUAGCUAUAGCAUGCCCACUUAAUUUCCUGGCCUGAUUUGAAUUCUGGUGUGUUCCAUGGAUUGGAGAACAUGCAAAAUUAUGUGUACCCUAGGAGCAACUUCUGUAAAACUGACCUAAGUCAUUGUGUUCUUGUGUUGCAUUGCCUCAUUAA